This is a long non-coding RNA of Nicotiana tabacum (common tobacco), 2250 nucleotides long. RefSeq lists it as uncharacterized. The record is from RefSeq and is a predicted model, not a curated record. Lineage: Eukaryota; Viridiplantae; Streptophyta; Magnoliopsida; Solanales; Solanaceae.
AUAACCCAUUUGUUCUCCUAAUUCCUUACCCUCUUUCCCCUUUGAGCGUACCCAUCACCGAAGGCCAAAACCAUACCUCUGUACAACCUCCAUCGUCUCUACCACUAUAUCCCCAUCAACCUUCGUCAACCAGCAGAACCUCAAUUUUUUUUUUCCUUCACCUAUAAACUUUAUCUCCUCCACCAGAAACAAUAACAAUUCAAUUAAUCCAAGCUCCAUGUUUUCAAAUAGUCCCAAAAUUCUAGGGUUUUUCUCGAUUAAGCUCGAUUGCCACUUCUUGUUCUCACUGAACCCUAAUUCAAGGUUUUCACUCGACUCUCGCAAAUUUCUGAUUUGCAUGAUCUUCUUUUAUACCUUUUCUAAUAUUUCAAUAGUUGAGCCAUAACUUGCAUAUAUCAUUAGCGAGGAAGGAAUUGCAACUGAUAGUUGUGGGAUAUAUAAUUGAGUAAUUGAGCGAUGUAGUGUGAUUGAAUGGAGAUUCAAAUCUACAUGACACAAGCAUGAAAACGUAUUUAUUGGGACUUUAAAAUUACUGGAACUUGGGGUUUUGGUUUUUAUUGAUUUUCUUAGUUAUCUUUAUUCAUGUAAAAUUUCUGUUUUAUAAGGCUUUUUUGGUUGCAAAUUUAUCUCUAUGGCUAUGAUUUAAGAAUAAUCUUGUCUUUCUAAUAGUUUGAUGCUUGUGUUUGAAACUAAUAUAGAAUUCGACUAAUCUUGUGGAGUAUUUUAAUCCAUCAGAUCUUGAGUCUGUAUUUAUUAUUCGCCAUGCGGAGAGAGCCAAUUAUUAAACCAGAAUUAGUAGAGGGCCAAAAUAUACCAUUUUAUGGAAUUUGAAAGUGGCCCUUUUGCUCCUGUUCUAUUUUUUCAUAAGUUCGUCAGAUUUUUCUAGUAGCUUAGGCUUUUGAGAAUGAGAUAAGGAUUAUGUAACAUAAAAAAAUUAGAUAUAGUCUCAGUAGAUUAGCUAGUGUCGUUUAAAACUAAGUUCUCAUUAUUAUAGAUUAGCUAGUGUAGUUUGGUUCUAUAUAUAAAACUAAGUUCUCGUUAUAACUCUUGCCUUCUGAGUUCCAAGUUCUGACUUCUACAGAAAGGAGAGGGUUAACCACUUGCAAGAUAAUCGAGUGUGUAAUGUGAGACGAAUUGGGUUAGUAUAGCAGCACUGAGUCAUACUUAAGCUUUAAAUUUUUUUAAAAGAUGCACAAUUGUUGUAUGGUGUAAUUUACCCGAUGUCGUUUUGAUAAUAAGAUGACAACUCUCUGAACAUAUUAAAAUUUUAACUCACGAUGUUUUAAUUAAAAUUGGGUUAGUAUAGCAGCACUGAGUCAUACUUAAGCUUUCUAAUAAUGACUCCUCCGCAAUAGUAAGUAGAUUUCGAAGCCUGUUAAGUUUGAUUAGAAAUUGUAUGACAGUUUCAAAGAGAAGAAUUUAAUGUGGACUGAAAAAGUUUUAAUUAACACAAAUUAUCUCAGGAAUCAUGCUAAAGUCAUGGAUCAUUUGAGUCAGUUAAGCAUUUCAUGAUUUUUCCUAACCAUUGGGUUACUGUUGCCACUAGACAGUGGAAGGGAUAGAGAAGGAUGGGUCUGUGAAUUGUUUUAGUUUAGUCCUAAUAGCCAUAUUGAGGGAGUAACAAAGAAUGAAGGAAAAUCUUAACUCGCAAAAGGAUGCUAUGGAACAAGAAAUUGUAAUGAACGUCGUCACACAACUUCAGCGUUUGAACUCAGAAUUGCGACUUGAUCCUAAGAUGCUAAGGUUCAGCGAGCACCUGUAGAAGCGUCUUCUGCACAACAAGCUGCCAUUCAGCUAAUCAAUCGACCAUCUACUGGUAGUAACAAUCAGUACGUACCAAAUGUUAUACCUCUUCUAUUUCUUCUUCUUCUCCUCCUUCCUUGUGCCGCUUCUUCUACCACUGCUCUCUUUCUCUCUCUCGAAGAGUCAGAUUAGUCUAGUAAUUUGUUUACUUUGCCUAUAGCACUUAGUCGCUGCGUAAUUCUAUUUCCUUGCUAGUGUCAUUACUAUGAUGCAUAUUCUUUUAUGUUGCCUUGCCGACUCUUUGUUGUUGCAUAGCCACUGCAUAAUUCUGUGGUAAUUGGUAAAGUUGUUGCAUGAGGGAGAAAAUAGUCUUAGAUUACAUAGUGAACAAAUGAAAAGUUGGGCCUCUUUUUCUAUGCCUUAUGGAAUUUUGUAUGUGCGUUUUGCUCAAAUUGUACCUGCACAUCUUUUGUUAUAUUUAUAAGUGCAACUACUACUGCUGCCCUU